This is a long non-coding RNA of Symphalangus syndactylus (siamang), 411 nucleotides long. RefSeq lists it as uncharacterized. The record is from RefSeq and is a predicted model, not a curated record. NCBI's taxonomy places the organism in Eukaryota, Metazoa, Chordata, Mammalia, Primates, Hylobatidae.
UAACCGUGGCCAAGUUCCUGGUGGGCAGCAAAGCCUCGCCUCCUGAAUGAUCAUUCCUGUUCACCACGCUUGGGACUCCUGAGGAAAUGGUGACCGUUUCCUGGAACUACUUACCCCAGAAAGAUCCGGACCAACCCCAGCUCUACUUACCAAGGGGAGAAUUGGAGAGACAAGUAGACUCACUUGGCUGGCUGCAAGAAGCCGAAGUAAUGAUAAGGAUGAGGACAAGGAGAGACAGGGCAGCCUCAGAGACCUUCAUCCUCUCAGCGGGGCAGUACAGCUUCAGGGAGAGCUGAAUGAAGAUGUUGUCUGCUGCUGGUGGUCCGCUUGCCAACUACUCAGCUCUCUGGACCUUGACCGCAUCAGAGCCGAUAGAGGAGGAGAAACAACAGGCCUCAGUGUUUGCUGAAA